AUUGAACGCUGGCGGCAUGCCUUACACAUGCAAGUCGAACGGCAGCACGGGUGCUUGCACCUGGUGGCGAGUGGCGAACGGGUGAGUAAUACAUCGGAACAUGUCCUGUAGUUGGGGAUAGCCCGGCGAAAGCCGGGUUAAUACCGCAUACGAUCUACGGAUGAAAGCGGGGGACCUUCGGGCCUCGCGCGAUAGGGUUGGCCGAUGGCUGAUUAGCUAGUUGGUGGGGUGAAGGCAUACCAAGGCGACGUGCAGUAGGUGGGCUGAGAGGACGACCAGCCACACUAGGACUUGAACACGGCCCAGACUCCUGCGAGAGGCAGCAGUGGGCAAUUGUGGACAAUGGGCGAAAGCCUGAUCCAGCAAUGCCGCGUGUGUGGAGACGGCCUUCGGGUUGUAAAGAACUUUUUUCCGGAAAGAAAUCCUUGGCCCUAAGACGGUCGGGGGAUGACGGUACCGGAAGAAUAAGCACCGGCUAACUACGUG
This 486-nucleotide ribosomal RNA is filed under the name uncultured bacterium. Its description in RNAcentral is "partial 16S ribosomal RNA". It matches the Rfam family "Bacterial small subunit ribosomal RNA", at positions 29 to 507 of the family's 1533-position model. The record is from RNAcentral.